This 253-nucleotide ribosomal RNA is filed under the name uncultured bacterium. RNAcentral's name for it is "partial 16S ribosomal RNA". It matches the Rfam family "Bacterial small subunit ribosomal RNA", at positions 524 to 776 of the family's 1533-position model. The record is from RNAcentral.
GACAGAGGCCCCAAGCGUUAGGCGGAAUCACUGGGCUUAAAGCGUGUGUAGGCGGACGCCUAAGUGUCUUGUGAAAUCCCACGGCUCACCCGUGGAACUGCUGGGCAUACUGGGCGUCUUGGGCCAACUAGGGGCAGCCGGAACAAGCGGUGGAGCGGUGAAAUGCGUAGAUAUCGCGUGGAACGCCGAAGGUGAAAACAGGCUGCUGGGGUUGCGCCGACGCUGAGAAACGAAAGCCAGGGGAGCAAACGGG